Molecule: non-coding RNA, 2651 nt
Organism: Oryza sativa Japonica Group (Japanese rice)
Lineage: Eukaryota; Viridiplantae; Streptophyta; Magnoliopsida; Poales; Poaceae
Source: RefSeq, a predicted model, not a curated record
CUCCCCCCCCCCCCCCCCCCCCCUCUCCUCUCCUCUCCUCCUCACAAACAUAAACACAAACACAUCAAGAGCAAGAACAACAAGAGAGAGAGAAAUCAAACUCCACCACCCACCACGACAUCGAGCUCGCAAGCAAGAACAAGAUUGCAAGAAGAAGAAGUUGUUGUUGGUCGAGGCGAGGAGGAGGAGGAGGAAGAAGGAGUUUGUGUGUUGGUGUUAUGAGGUGUUGGAUUAGAUGAGAGGAAUGCCCUUUGGUGGGAGCGCGCGAGAGGGGCACGCGGGGACACUGCUGCAACACCACCUCAUACACGGCGUUGGCCUCGCCGCGGCCGGCAAGCUCGUCUCCUCCUCCUCCGCCGCCGCCGCCGCCGCCGGAGCAGGUGGGUUCUGGGAGCCAAGGUCGGUGCUCGACCACCGCCACAGCCCGAGCCCCAGCCCGCCUACCUCGGCUUCCACGCUGUCGUCGCCUCUCGCCGACGUGGCGGCCCUCGCCGGCGCCAACGCCAAGAACGUCUCCGUCUCCCCGCCGCCGCCGGGAUGGGGAACGGGAGGAGGAGGUGGUGGGGGGGAGGAGGUGGUGGCGGCGAAGGAGGAGUGGGUGCACCAGCUCACGCCGCUUGAUAUGGGGCUCGGCGCCGGCGAAGGGUGGGAUGCCGCCGGGAACGUGCUGUCCGACGCGGCGCGGCCGGACGUCGGGGGAUGGCGCCGGACAACACGUUCCUCCGCUGGAUCAUUGGCGGCGGCGAGGACCGGUCCCCGAUGGCAGGGGUCAUGGACCGCCGGUGCUCGAGCUCGACCAUGGCGGCGGCGCGGCGCGCUGCGCCCGCCGCGUUCGGGCCGUUCGCGCCGCCGCCCGCGGCAAGGACACGAAGCCCGUGGUGCCGUUCGCGGCGGGGCACCCCCCGCCGAACUUCCUCCUCCAACACCACCACCACCACCCGCAGCCGCACGCGGCGUUCUUCGGCGCCCACCACCCGUCGUUCGACGCGGCGCCGCCGCCUUCCAAGCGGCACCACCCGAUGGCCGCCGCGCCUGCGCCGAAGCUGCCUCCGUUCCCGGCGGGCGGGUUCGUCCCCGCCCUGAAGCCGAAGGCGGAGGCGGCGAACGACGAGGCCGCCGCUGCGGUCGAACAGCUAGCCGAGGCGGCGAAGCUGGCCGAGGCCGGCGACGCCUUCGGCGCCCGCGAGAUAUUGGCGCGGCUCAAUUACCGGCUCCCCGCCGCCCCCACGGCCGGGACGCCACUGCUCCGCUCAGCCUUCUACUUCAAGGAGGCUCUGCGCCUAACGCUCUCCCCCACCGGCGACGCCCCAGCGCCAUCGGCGUCGACGCCGUACGACGUGGUCGUCAAGCUCGGCGCCUACAAGGCCUUCUCGGAGGUGUCCCCGGUGCUCCAGUUCGCGCACCUCACCUGCGUCCAGGCGGUGCUCGACGAGCUCGGCGGCGCCGGAUGCAUCCACGUGCUGGACUUCGACAUCGGCAUGGGCGAGCAGUGGGCGUCGCUGAUGCAGGAGCUCGCGCAGCUCCGCCCGGCCGCCGCGCUCAAGGUGACCGCAUUGGUGUCCCCGGCGUCGCACCACCCGCUCGAGCUGCAGCUCAUCCACGAGAACCUCUCCGGCUUCGCCGCCGAGCUCGGCGUCUUCUUCCACUUCACCGUCUUCAACAUCGACACCCUGGACCCCGCCGAGCUCCUCGCCAACGCCACCGCGGGCGACGCCGUGGCCGUGCACCUCCCCGUCGGCCCCGCCCACGCCGCCGCGACGCCGGCCGUGCUCCGCCUCGUGAAGCGCCUCGGCGCCAAGGUGGUGGUCUCCGUCGACCGCGGCUGCGACCGCUCCGACCUCCCCUUCGCGGCGCACCUCUUCCACUCCUUCCACUCCGCCGUCUACCUCCUCGAGUCCAUCGACGCCGUGGGCACGGACCCGGACACCGCGUCCAAGAUCGAGCGGUACCUCAUCCACCCCGCCAUCGAGCAGUGCGUCGUGGCCAGCCACCGCGCCGCCUCCGCCAUGGACAAGGCGCCGCCGCCGCCGUGGCGCGCGGCGUUCGCGGCGGCGGGGUUCGCGCCGGUGCAGGCGACGACGUUCGCGGAGUCGCAGGCGGAGUCGCUGCUGAGCAAGGUGCACGUCAGGGGGUUCCGCGUCGAGAAGCGCGCCGGCUCGCUCUGCCUCUACUGGCAGCGCGGCGAGCUCGUGUCCGUCUCGGCGUGGAGGUGCUAGAAAGCCCUCGCCGCCGUCGCCGUCUCCGGCGAGCGGCGCAGCCGUGGAGCCGACGUAUCAAGGAGCCGCGGAUUUUAGUUAGGGACUAAUGAUCCUGCUACUUCUUCCUCUCCAAGUGAAAGUCAAGUGUUUUUUUACCCUUUUUGUGUAACUUUUUUUUACUCCUUUUUUCUUCUUCUUCUUUGUGUUGCUGUAAUGAUCUCAGCUGAGCUGAUCAGUGAGCUGAGUGUCCUAAGAUUGUCGUGUCACCUUGCAGCUUGGCUCUGCUUCUGCUUCUGCUUGUGCAGAUGCAGAGUGCCAUGUCGCAAUGGUGUUGUACUGGUACAGUAGCUGGCGCAUUCUACUUCACCAUCAUCCAUCCAUCCAUCCCCCUGUGUUACUACUCGAUUCCCCGUGAAAAUCAAUGGCUAUGGCAUUUGAAAAUUUGUUCUUCCA